Molecule: long non-coding RNA, 533 nt
Filed under: Prunus dulcis (almond)
Lineage: Eukaryota; Viridiplantae; Streptophyta; Magnoliopsida; Rosales; Rosaceae
Description: sRNA ncRNA
Source: RNAcentral
AUGGCCAAGUUUCCUGUGAACCCCUUUCUCCUGCUCAGGUUGGUAUAGAUAUAUGUAUAUUAUUUUGUUUCUUUCGCACAAGUGUGUCUUUGUAUGAGUUUUAAUUUAAUCACCAUAUAAUUAUCUCAAGCGUACUAAUUAAUUUCCCAUCUGUUGGACUGUUUCUACUUAAACAUUCUUGAACCUUGAUGGUAAGAAAUUAAUGAUGAUGCAAAUACAAUUAGGUUAUAAUAUCUGAUGUUUUUAAUUAAUUAGGGGUUUAUUUGUUUGAUUGAAGUAGGCGAUCAUAUAAGGUUGCAAGAUCAGUGCAAAAGCCAGCGACGACAAUGAGGAGGACUGCGACAACUGAAUCGGGCAGUAGUGUUAAUGAUAAUGUAGCAAAUAAUCAUGAUAGUCCGCAGAUGAAUCAAGUGUUUUGGAUGAGAGACCCGAAGACAGGGAACUGGAUUCCAGAGAGCCACUUUGAGGAGCUUGAUGUUGCAGAGCUGAGGGAGAAGCUCCUCCCCAACCUCAACAAGCAGCACAAACUUUAA